CACACGACUCUCGGCAACGGAUAUCUCGGCUCUUGCAUCGAUGAANAANGUAGCGAAAUGCGAUACCUGGUGUGAAUUGCAGAAUCCCGUGAACCAUCGAGUCUUUGAACGCAAGUUGCGCCCGAGGCCACUCGGUCGAGGGCACGCCUGCUUGGGCGUCACGC
RNAcentral lists this ribosomal RNA (164 nucleotides) under Bromus japonicus (Japanese brome). RNAcentral's name for it is "5.8S ribosomal RNA". It matches the Rfam family "5.8S ribosomal RNA". From Rfam's summary of the family: 5.8S ribosomal RNA (5.8S rRNA) is a component of the large subunit of the eukaryotic ribosome. It is transcribed by RNA polymerase I as part of the 45S precursor that also contains 18S and 28S rRNA. Functionally, it is thought that 5.8S rRNA may be involved in ribosome translocation. Lineage: Eukaryota; Viridiplantae; Streptophyta; Magnoliopsida; Poales; Poaceae. The record is from RNAcentral.